RNAcentral lists this ribosomal RNA (465 nucleotides) under uncultured bacterium. RNAcentral describes it as "partial 16S ribosomal RNA". It matches the Rfam family "Bacterial small subunit ribosomal RNA", at positions 338 to 795 of the family's 1533-position model. The record is from RNAcentral.
CCUACGGGUGGCAGCAGUAGGGAAUCUUCCACAAUGGGCGAAAGCCUGAUGGAGCAACGCCGCGUGGGUGAAGAAGGUCUUCGGAUCGUAAAACCCUGUUGUUAGAGAAGAAAGUGCGUGAGAGUAACUGUUCACGUUUCGACGGUAUCUAACCAGAAAGCCACGGCUAACUACGUGCCAGCAGCCGAGGUAAUACGUAGGUGGCAAGCGUUAUCCGGAUUUAUUGGGCGUAAAGGGAACGCAGGCGGUCUUUUAAGGCUGAUGGGAAAGCCUUCGGCUUAACCGGGGUAGUGCAGUGGAAACUGGGAGACUUGAGUGCAGAAGAGGAGAGUGGAACUCGAUGUGUAGCGGUGAAAUGCGUAGAUAGAUGGAAGAACACCAGUGGCGAAAGCGGCUCUCUGGUCUGUAACUGACGCUGAGGUUCGAAAGCGUGGGUAGCAAACAGGAUUAGAUACCCUGGUAGUC